AUACGGAGGAUCCGAGCGUUAUCCAGAUUUAUUGGGUUUAAAGGGUGCGCAGGCGGCCAUUUAAGUCAGCGGUUAAAUCGUGGGGCUCAACCCCAUUCUGCCGUUGAUACUGGGUGGCUUGAUUGCGGUCGAGGUUGGCGGAAUUCGUUGUGGAGCGGUGAAAUGCAUAGAUAUGACGAAGAACACCGAUUGCGUAGGCAGCUGACCAGACCGCAAAUGACGCUCAUGCACGAAAGUGCGGGGAUCGAACAGGAUUAGAUACCCUGGUAGUCCGCACAGUAAACGAUGAAUACUUGUUUUCGGCGAUAUAAUGUCGGAGGCAAAGCGAAAGCGAUAAGUAUUCCACCUGGGGAGUACGCCGGCAACGGUGAAACUUAAAGGAAUUGACGGGG
This 392-nucleotide ribosomal RNA is filed under the name uncultured bacterium. Its description in RNAcentral is "partial 16S ribosomal RNA". It matches the Rfam family "Bacterial small subunit ribosomal RNA", at positions 523 to 918 of the family's 1533-position model. The record is from RNAcentral.